Molecule: long non-coding RNA, 1701 nt
Filed under: Mus musculus (house mouse)
Lineage: Eukaryota; Metazoa; Chordata; Mammalia; Rodentia; Muridae
Description: predicted gene 10830, transcript variant 2 (Gm10830)
Source: RNAcentral
GUCUGUCCCUCGGCUCCGGAGGGGGGGGGGGUGUAAUAGCGCGGGAGGUGGGGCUAAGGGGACCCUCAUCCUCCCUUUCCGACAAGUGGGGGUCCUGAGCGCUGCCCAGAAGGGGUCCAGAGAAUGUUGUGGGCUGGGGCACACCCGCCGGGGCAGAAAUUGGAGGACACCACCGACGUCGACAGAAUCCUUUCUAUCCUUCCUUUCAGCUGCCCGGUGUUCUCCACCCCUGCGUUAGCACUCUGUAGUCUGGGGACCUCCCGGGAACGUCCCGGGGCUAGCAACCAAGGGGGCUCUCGGAUGCUCUGUGGAUCGCCGCUUCGCCCUUACUUUGGGGACGGUCACACGCGUCCCGCUUCCCCCGGUCGCUUUAGAUCAGGCGUCUGCGCCCUCCCCGGCUCCUCACCCCCACCCCCAGAGUCAAAUGUGGGCCUCUCCUGGAAAUCCUUUGCGAAGGGGACAAACUUUUGAGUGGACGAAAAUCUAUUGGAGCCUGUCCAGAGCAGGCCCUGCUCUGAGACCCUGAGGCUGGCUGGCAUACACUCUGCCUCUGUCUGGAGUUUAUAAUGAGGAUGCAAAUACAGGGAUUCAAAGAAGAGGCCCUAAGUGAGAAGCCCGGGGAUUUGCUAACCAGGGGCAGGGUACCAGUUGUGACUUUGACCUUUAUAGCCUUAACUCACUGUAGACAAUUCUGCAUUUUCCAUUUCCACUCCAUCCCUGUUUCUGGGAGAGAGGUGCUGGUGUCCCCAAGGUUACUGCUCUCUGGGGAUGAGGGUCAGUAUCACAAAUUAAAACCUUAAACUUUCUAAAAACGAAAAGCACAUUUCCCUAUUCUUUGUGUGUUUGGGAGGUUGUGUUUCCCACUAGCCUAGCAGACUCUGACCCCUGAACAUCAGAAUGUGGAUUCCCCUCAUUGUCUACACCAACCCCCCAAGAAAGGCUCAAUCCAGGUGACUGUGGAAAGGAUGAGCCCACACUCACUUCCUCAUCCCUCAUCUGCUUUGAAGGACUCAGGACCUCAGCAGGCUGAACAGCCAUGAGGAGCGAAGCUGAGUGGCUUCCCACCUCCUUUGAGCUCCUCGCAGUUCUGUUUUGUGUGUGGUUUGUCCUCGCCCCUCCUCGGACCUGGAAAAUGAAUGUUUAACCCCGCUCUGCUCAUCUCUCCCUGUGCCCUGUUCCUGUCAGCCUCAAAGCUGCCGGGAGGAAGGACCUGCAGCUUCCAGUCCUGCUCAUAGUCAAUGAAAAUUCAAAUUCUCUUCUCAGCAGAAGGGCAGCUGCCUUCUUCUCCGUUUUCCCUGCACACAUUGAUCUGUCGCGAGGGCACCUGGGGGUCAGAAGAGAGGCCAGGCUCUUUUAAUUUGGUCUGGAAUUAGCAUAUCCUAUCACACCAAAGGCCAGGAUUUCCACAUCCAGGAGCAGGAGGUCUUCACCCAGACCUAGACCUGUUCUUAGACCCCUCAAGCCAGCAAUGAUAUCCACAUUUGUUGAGGUGGAGACCUAGGAGGGAAAAUGAGCAAUUUGGCCCAUUUUUCAGGCCAGUAGCUGCAGCUGUCUGCUCUGUUAAUAUUUUCUUCAGUAUUCAUCACAGGCAAAGCACCGCCUUUACCUCGGAGUGCCUCGAGGAUAGGAAGAUCUUUGCCACCCUGAGACCUCCGUGUGUUGUGGAUAGAUACACAAAUAAACAGAUGGGGAAAAAAAAGA